UACGUAGGUGGCAAGCGUUAUCCGGAAUUAUUGGGCGUAAAGCGCGCGUAGGCGGUUUCUUAAGUCUGAUGUGAAAGCCCACGGCUCAACCGUGGAGGGUCAUUGGAAACUGGGAAACUUGAGUACAGAAGAGGAAAGUGGAAUUCCAUGUGUAGCGGUGAAAAUGCGCAGAGAUAUGGAGGAACACCAGUGGCGAAGGCGACUUUCUGGUCUGUAACUGACGCUGAUGUGCGAAAAGCGUGGGGGAUCAAAACAGGAUUAGAUACCCCCGGUAGUCC
This 278-nucleotide ribosomal RNA is filed under the name uncultured bacterium. Its description in RNAcentral is "partial 16S ribosomal RNA". It matches the Rfam family "Bacterial small subunit ribosomal RNA", at positions 524 to 796 of the family's 1533-position model. The record is from RNAcentral.